This 357-nucleotide ribosomal RNA is filed under the name uncultured bacterium. RNAcentral describes it as "bacterial SSU rRNA". It matches the Rfam family "Bacterial small subunit ribosomal RNA", at positions 28 to 386 of the family's 1533-position model. The record is from RNAcentral.
GAUGAACGCUAGCGGGAGGCUUAAUACAUGCAAGUCGAGCGGGAUUCUCCUUCGGGAGAUGAGAGCGGCGCACGGGUGAGUAACGCGUACGUAACCUGCCUUACAGAGGGGAAUAGCCCUGGGAAACUGGGAUUAAUACUCCAUAGUAUAUAGAUGGCGCAUGCUGUUUAUAUUAAAGUUGAGGCGCUGUAAGAUGGGCGUGCGUGCUAUUAGCUAGUUGGUGAUGUAACGGCUCACCAAGGCUACGAUAGCUAGGGGGCGUGAGAGCGUGGCCCCCCCANACGGGUACUGAGACACGGACCCGACUCCUACGGGGAGGCAGCAGUAAGGAAUAUUGGACAAUGGUCGAAAGACUGA